RNAcentral lists this non-coding RNA (859 nucleotides) under Cordylus minor. RNAcentral describes it as "partial 12S ribosomal RNA". It matches the Rfam family "Bacterial small subunit ribosomal RNA". Lineage: Eukaryota; Metazoa; Chordata; Lepidosauria; Squamata; Cordylidae. The record is from RNAcentral.
CCAAAAAACAAAAUGUUUUGGUCCUAAACUUGCUGUUAUUUUUUGCUAGACUUACACAUGCAAGCAUCCGCGUACCAGUGAAAAUGCCCACUGAUCAAAUGGAGCUGGUAUCAGGCACAACAAACUUUAGCCAAUGACACCUUGCCAGGCCACACCCCCACGGGUUUACAGCAGUGAUUAAUAUUAAACAUAAGCGAAAGCUUGAUUUAGUUAUAGUAAUGACAAAGAGUCGGUAAAUUUCGUGCCAGCCACCGCGGUUAUACGAAAGACCCAAAAUAACGGCCCCCGGCGUAAAGCGUAGCUAGAAGUUCUAAAACUAAGGACAAACACCUUCUCCGCUGUGAAACGCUCAAGAAGACAAGAAUAUUACUACCUUAUAGUCAUUUGACGCUACRAAAGCUGAGACACAAACURGGAUUARAUACCCCACUAUGCUCAGCCCUAAACUUAGAUAGCAAAAUACUACCUAUCCGCCAGAGAACUACAAGCAAAAUACUUAAAACUCAAAGGACUUGGCGGCAUUCCAUAUCAACCUAGAGGAGCCCGUCCAAUAAUCGAUAAUACACGCUCAACCCAACCAUUUUUGGCCACUCCAGCCUAUAUACCGCCGUCGUCAGCUAACCUUGUGAAAGAAAAGUAGUAAGCACAACAGCCCUCACUAAAACGUCAGGUCAAGGUGUAGCUAAUAAAAUGGGUGUGAUAGGCUACAUUUUCUAUUAUAGAAAAGACGGAAAAUACAAUGAAACCUUGUAAUAGAAGGUGAAUUUAGAAGUAAACUAAGAAAGGAUUCUUACUUUAACAUCGCCCUGGAAUGCGCACACACCGCCCGUCACCCUCCUCAAUAACCAGAUGAGGCAAG